ACCGCCUACGGGGGGCAGCAGUGAGGAAUAUUGGUCAAUGGACGCAAGUCUGAACCAGCCAUGCCGCGUGCAGGAAGACGGCUCUAUGAGUUGUAAACUGCUUUUGUACGAGGGUAAAUCCCGAUACGUGUAUCGGGUUGAAAGUAUCGUACGAAUAAGGAUCGGCUAACUCCGUGCCAGCAGCCGCGGUAAUACGGAGGAUUCAAGCGUUAUCCGGAUUUAUUGGGCGUAAAGGGUGCGUAGGCGGCCUGCUAAGUCUGGAGUGAAAGGUACCGGCUCAACCGGUACAGGCUCUGGAAACUGGG
Molecule: ribosomal RNA, 305 nt
Filed under: uncultured bacterium
Lineage: Bacteria
Description: bacterial SSU rRNA
Rfam family: Bacterial small subunit ribosomal RNA
Source: RNAcentral